RNAcentral lists this ribosomal RNA (684 nucleotides) under Hebeloma mesophaeum. RNAcentral describes it as "eukaryotic LSU rRNA". The record is from RNAcentral. Lineage: Eukaryota; Fungi; Basidiomycota; Agaricomycetes; Agaricales; Hymenogastraceae.
CCGUAGGUGAACCUGCGGAAGGAUCAUUAUUGAAUGAACUUGGUGUGGUUGUUGCUGGCCCUUUCGGGGGCAUGUGCACACCCAUCAUCCUCAUCUCUCCACCUGUGCACCUCUUGUAGACUUGGAUUGACUUUCCGAGGCAACUCGGUCGGGAGGACUUGCUGGCAYUAGCUGGCUUUCCUUGCAUUUCCAAGUCUAUGUUUUUUCAUAUACCCCAUUGAAUGUAACAGAAUGUAACAUAUUGGGCCUUUGUGCCUAUAAAAAACUUAUACAACUUUCAGCAACGGAUCUCUUGGCUCUCGCAUCGAUGAAGAACGCAGCGAAAUGCGAUAAGUAAUGUGAAUUGCAGAAUUCAGUGAAUCAUCGAAUCUUUGAACGCACCUUGCGCUCCUUGGUAUUCCGAGGAGCAUGCCUGUUUGAGUGUCAUUAAAUUCUCAACUAUUAUCAGCWWWWGCUGAUGAUGGCUUGGAUAUGGGGGUUUAUUUUGCUGGCUUCUUCACAGAUUGUCAGCUCCCCUUAAAUGCAUUAGCCGGUGCCCCGCGUGGACUGUCUAUUGGUGUGAUAAUYAUCUACGCCGUGGACAUCUACAAUCAUAUGGGUUUGCRCUGCUUCCAACCGUCUGUUUACUCAGACAAUACAUGACAAUUUGACCUCAAAUCAGGUAGGACUACCCGCUGAACUUAA